RNAcentral lists this ribosomal RNA (835 nucleotides) under uncultured bacterium. Its description in RNAcentral is "bacterial SSU rRNA". It matches the Rfam family "Bacterial small subunit ribosomal RNA", at positions 44 to 875 of the family's 1533-position model. The record is from RNAcentral.
AGGCCUAACACAUGCAAGUCGAACGAGGACUACACCUUCGGGUGUAGAGCCGAGUGGCGGACGGGUGAGUAACGCGUAGGGAUCUGCCCUAGAGAGGGGGAUAACCCGGGGAAACUCGGGCUAAUACCGCAUAAUCCUUUCGGGGUAAAGGUCGCACUUAGGUGCGGUCACUCUAGGAUGACCCUGCGUCCGAUUAGCUAGUUGGUGGGGUAAAGGCUUACCAAGGCGAUGAUCGGUAGCUGUUCUGAGAGGAAGACCAGCCACACUGGGACUGAGACACGGCCCAGACUCCUACGGGAGGCAGCAGUGGGGAAUAUUAGACAAUGGGGGCAACCCUGAUCCAGCAAUGCCGCGUGUGUGAAGAAGGCCUGCGGGUUGUAAAGCACUUUCGUUGGGGAGGAAGAGCAGUGAUUGAAUAGGUGACUGUUGUGACGUUACCCAAAGAAGAAGCACCGGCUAACUCUGUGCCAGCAGCCGCGGUAAUACAGAGGGUGCGAGCGUUAAUCGGAAUUACUGGGCGUAAAGGGCGCGUAGGUGGGUAUUUAAGUUGGGUGUGAAAUGUCCGGGCUUAACCUGGAGAGGCCAUCCGAUACUGGAUACCUAGAGUGCAGAAGAGGUAAGCGGAAUUUCCAGUGUAGCGGUGAAAUGCGUAGAUAUUGGAAGGAACACCAGUGGCGAAGGCGGCUUACUGGCCUGAAACUGACACUGAGGCGCGAAAGCGUGGGUAGCGAACAGGAUUAGAUACCCUGGUAGUCCACGCUGUAAACGAUGAGUACUAGCCGUUGGGGCCCUGCGGGGCUUAGUGGCGCAGCAAACGCGUUAAGUACUCCGCCUG